This 371-nucleotide ribosomal RNA is filed under the name uncultured organism. RNAcentral's name for it is "bacterial SSU rRNA". It matches the Rfam family "Bacterial small subunit ribosomal RNA", at positions 526 to 896 of the family's 1533-position model. The record is from RNAcentral.
CGUAGGGUGCGAGCGUUAAUCGGAAUUACUGGGCGUAAAGCGUGCGCAGGCGGUUUAGUAAGACAGGCGUGAAAUCCCCGGGCUCAACCUGGGAACUGCGCUCGUGACUGCUAAGCUAGAGUACGGCAGAGGGGGUGGAAUUCCACGUGUAGCAGUGAAAUGCGUAGAGAUGUGGAGGAACACCAAUGGCGAAGGCAGCCCCCUGGGUCGAUACUGACGCUCAUGCACGAAAGCGUGGGUAGCAAACAGGAUUAGAUACCCUGGUAGUCCACGCCCUAAACGAUGUCAACUAGGUGUUGGGAGGGUAAAACCUUUUAGUACCGGAGCUAACGCGUGAAGUUGACCGCCUGGGGAGUACGGCCGCAAGGUUA